GCUGGGCAUGGUGGCUCAUGCCUGUAAUCCCAGCAGCUCGGGAGGCUGAGGCAGGAGGUUCAUGAGUUCAAAGCCAGCCUCAGUAACUGUGAGGUGCUAAGCAACUCAUUGAGACCCUGUCUCUA
Molecule: small RNA, 125 nt
Filed under: Marmota monax (woodchuck)
Lineage: Eukaryota; Metazoa; Chordata; Mammalia; Rodentia; Sciuridae
Source: RNAcentral